GAUGAAGAACGUAGCGAAAUGCGAUAAGUAAUGUGAAUUGCAGAGUUCAGUGAAUCAUCGAAUCUUUGAACGCACAUUGCGCCCGCCAGCAUUCUGGCGGGCAUGCCUGUUCGAGCGUCAUUUCAACCCUCGAGCCCCCCCGGGGGCCUCGGUGUUGGGGGACGGCACACCAGCCGCCCCCGAAAUGCAGUGGCGACCCCGCCGCAGCCUCCCCUGCGUAGUAGCACACACCUCGCACCGGAGCGCGGAGGCGGUCACGCCGUAAAACGCCCAACUUUCUUAGAGUUGACCUCGGAUCAGGUAGGAAUACCCGCUGAACUUAAGCAUAUCAAUAAGCGGAGGA
Molecule: unclassified non-coding RNA, 343 nt
Filed under: soil metagenome
Description: partial contains 5.8S ribosomal RNA, internal transcribed spacer 2, and large subunit ribosomal RNA
Rfam family: 5.8S ribosomal RNA (bases 1-120)
Source: RNAcentral